AGGAUCCUCCGAGACCAAGCCCUCUUUUAAUCCAUAGAACAGGCCUUGCAUGAGCAACAGAACGGCAAACUUCCCAAUCUGCUUAGCCAAUGUGCCUCCAACCUGUUCUGCAAGGAUUCUCCCGUCUCCGCCCUAGGUGUGAGAGAGUAGAUCAGUCUCCAUAGUCCACUCUGUCCUUGGCCUCU
RNAcentral lists this small RNA (185 nucleotides) under Gopherus agassizii (Agassiz's desert tortoise). Its description in RNAcentral is "TUC338 (ENSGAGG00000000050.1)". The record is from RNAcentral. Lineage: Eukaryota; Metazoa; Chordata; Testudines; Testudinidae.